RNA transcript from Cimex lectularius (bed bug), 1650 nucleotides. RefSeq lists it as uncharacterized. Lineage: Eukaryota; Metazoa; Arthropoda; Insecta; Hemiptera; Cimicidae. The record is from RefSeq and is a predicted model, not a curated record. The transcript has 7 exons.
AGAGACAAUUCCGUUUUAACUGCAAGUGAAAACGUUUGUAAUUCACGGUAAAACUAUUUUGUCUUAUUUUGUCUACUACGUCUAUUCCUGGCAGAGAUUUUAAUUAAUAGAUAACUAGUUAGGUAGAAAUAAGCCUAAGCCUAGAUAAGAAAGAAGCCAAAGAUGUGGCCCCGCGUGGUGAGGUGGGGCUUGGGUGUGGCGGCAGCAACGGUGUGCGCUUUUUCUGCAUACAAAGCAUUCCAAGAAAUUAAAAGACUCUCUUCAGACUUGCCCGAAUUUUACCUUAGACAAAACUUAGAGCGACGUCGCGAUACAAGACGUUUCGCCAAUUCACGCCAAGAAAGGGAAGAUACAUUCUUAGCCGAUGCAUCGACCGAUGAAGAAGAAGAUGCACAACGUGCAGGAACUUCCAAAAGAGUUACGUAUCAUCGAACGGCAAACAUAGAAGAUUCUCCCAACAUUCUAGAAGGUAUUUACCCACGUCCUGAAGUCGAUCGUUAUAGGCCAAGUAGAGCUGAACGGAGCCCAAUAUUAACCGCAAUACUAGAGCAACAGCGGUCCUCUACAGCCCAAGAAGAAAACAACGACCAAGCAGCUAGUUUAAGCACCGAAAUUGAAAGGCCUGACAGCAACGAAGAAAGCACUGAUAUGCCGAACACUGACAAUCGACUGAGAUCCGCAAAUAUUGAUGAAACGGAGGAGCACAGUUCUGAGAUUAGUGAUACGAAUCUCAGAAACAGCACACCGAAAAACUAAAGGAGCGGGGUGGGCAGGGAGCAAGGGUUUCCAUGCGGAGCCCUACCGUCCAAUGUAAGAAUGAAAGCUGCUCCCUGCCCACGUAGAGACGAACGGACGGAAAUGAAAAAGUCUAGAAGACUCGUAUUAACAAACUUUAAAAUUUGUAAACGGUUUUAAGCCCAGAUCCUCUUUAGAACGUAUAUUGCUUAAAGCAAUGAGCGUCAUAAGACGAGGACGUACAAAUCAACCCCAAUCGGAUCACAAUCUGUUCAUUUGUAAAGUCGAAAUUAUUUUGGAAUCAUCUUAAGCAGAUUAAAAUAAAGAAGUGCCUAUUAGUACACUCAAGGGACAGAAAACCAGAAAACCAGCGAGGACACCUUCAGCCCCAGAGAAAAGUUGCUGUACUUACUGAACGGAGGAACUGUUCCUCGAGGCCGUACGUCGAGGCAUAAGAAGUUUUAAUGGAAAUGGAUACAUAAUUCUGCAUACAUCUGAAAGAUGAAAAUCAAACCGCCGAUACAAUGCCAAGCUGUGGACACCUACGCGUCUAAGAAAUACGUCUGUUCAAGACAUCAAUGUAGGUCACUACCAUUAAGUGCCAAAUGCUACAGAUAUCUUUAUCCACACACCAUUUAUCUGUCAAGCAGCCUACUGUUCUAUUGCGAACGUCUUUGCGCAUUCCUUGUACCCACAGUAAUAUAUUAAUGUAUUAAUUUUAACAGACGCAAAUAAAGGCAUAUCACAUUCUAUUUUUUUCUCUCAUCUAACUCUUAAAUGAAAAACAGGUUCUUACGGAAGUUAAGAUCUUAGCCCCUUAAAAAUUUUUGCAAACCAGGUGGAGGUUUAUUUUUCCAUUAGAACAGGAUGUUAUUACGUGAACUUUAACUUCAUUAUAUUUAGUGGUUUGAUUGA